GGUCUAGCGGCGGACGGGUUAGUAACGCGUGGGAAUAUACCCUUCACUACGGAAUAGCCUCGGGAAACUGGGAGUAAUACCGUAUACGCCCUUUGGGGGAAAGAUUUAUCGGUGAAGGAUUAGCCCGCGUCUGAUUAGAUAGUUGGUGGGGUAAUGGCCUACCAAGUCUACGAUCAGUAGCUGGUUUGAGAGGAUGAUCAGCAACACUGGGACUGAGACACGGCCCAGACUCCUACGGGAGGCAGCAGUGGGGAAUCUUAGACAAUGGGCGCAAGCCUGAUCUAGCCAUGCCGCGUGAGUGACGAAGGCCUUAGGGUCGUAAAGCUCUUUCGCCAGAGAUGAUAAUGACAGUAUCUGGUAAAGAAACCCCGGCUAACUCCGUGCCAGCAGCCGCGGUAAUACGGAGGGGGUUAGCGUUGUUCGGAAUUACUGGGCGUAAAGCGCACGUAGGCGGAUUGGAAAGUAUGGGGUGAAAUCCCAGGGCUCAACCCUGGAACGGCCUUGUAAACUCCCAGUCUAGAGUUCGAGAGAGGUGAGUGGAAUUCCAAGUGUAGAGGUGAAAUUCGUAGAUAUUUGGAGGAACACCAGUGGCGAAGGCGGCUCACUGGCUCGAUACUGACGCUGAGGUGCGAAAGUGU
Molecule: ribosomal RNA, 638 nt
Filed under: Rhodobacteraceae bacterium S7
Lineage: Bacteria; Pseudomonadati; Pseudomonadota; Alphaproteobacteria; Rhodobacterales; Paracoccaceae
Description: bacterial SSU rRNA
Rfam family: Bacterial small subunit ribosomal RNA
Source: RNAcentral